RNAcentral lists this transfer RNA (73 nucleotides) under Salmo salar (Atlantic salmon). It matches the Rfam family "tRNA". Rfam says of the family: Transfer RNA (tRNA) molecules are approximately 80 nucleotides in length. Their secondary structure includes four short double-helical elements and three loops (D, anti-codon, and T loops). Further hydrogen bonds mediate the characteristic L-shaped molecular structure. tRNAs have two regions of fundamental functional importance: the anti-codon, which is responsible for specific mRNA codon recognition, and the 3' end, to which the tRNAs corresponding amino acid is attached (by aminoacyl-tRNA synthetases). tRNAs cope with the degeneracy of the genetic code in two manners: having more than one tRNA (with a specific anti-codon) for a particular amino acid; and 'wobble' base-pairing, i.e. permitting non-standard base-pairing at the 3rd anti-codon position. The record is from Rfam by way of RNAcentral. Lineage: Eukaryota; Metazoa; Chordata; Actinopteri; Salmoniformes; Salmonidae.
GCUACUGUGGCUCAGUUGGUAGAGCAUAGCACUUGCAAUGCUAAGGUUGUGGAUCCAAUUCCUGCUGGGGCCA